GCAUAUCAAAAGCGGAGGAAAAGAAACCAACAGGGAUUGCCUCAGUAACGGCGAGUGAAGCGGCAAAAGCUCAAAUUUGAAACCCUCGGGAUUGUAAUUUGAAGAUUUGGCAUUGGAGAAAGCUAACCCAAGUUGCUUGGAAUAGUACGUCAUAGAGGGUGACAACCCCGUCUGGCUAACCGUUCUCCAUGUAUUGCCUUAUCAAAGAGUCGAGUUGUUUGGGAAUGCAGCUCAAAGUGGGUGGUAAACUCCAUCUAAAGCUAAAUACUGGUGAGAGACCGAUAGCGAACAAGUACUGUGAAGGAAAGGUGAAAAGAACUUUGAAAAGAGAGUGAAAUAGUAUGUGAAAUUGUUGAUAGGGAAGGAAAUGAGUGGAGAGUGGCCGAGGUUUCAGCCGCCCCUCGUGGGCGGUGUACUGCCGACGCCGAGUCAUCGAUAGCGAGACGAGGGUUACAAAUGGGAGCGCCUUUCGGGCGUUCUCCCCUAACCCUCCACACUGCCACCGACGACAUAAUCCACCCAUUUCACCCGUCUUGAAACACGG
RNAcentral lists this ribosomal RNA (544 nucleotides) under Yarrowia lipolytica. RNAcentral's name for it is "eukaryotic LSU rRNA". It matches the Rfam family "Eukaryotic large subunit ribosomal RNA", at positions 38 to 664 of the family's 3401-position model. Lineage: Eukaryota; Fungi; Ascomycota; Dipodascomycetes; Dipodascales. The record is from RNAcentral.